RNAcentral lists this ribosomal RNA (734 nucleotides) under uncultured Bacilli bacterium. Its description in RNAcentral is "bacterial SSU rRNA". It matches the Rfam family "Bacterial small subunit ribosomal RNA", at positions 28 to 734 of the family's 1533-position model. Lineage: Bacteria; Bacillati; Bacillota; Bacilli. The record is from RNAcentral.
GACGAACGCUGGUGGCGUGCCUAAUACAUGCAAGUCGAACGCUUCUUUUCCACCGGAGCUUGCUCCACCGGAAAAAGAGGAGUGGCGAACGGGUGAGUAACACGUGGGUAACCUGCCCAUCAGAAGGGGAUAACACUUGGAAACAGGUGCUAAUACCGUAUAACAAUCGAAACCGCAUGGUUUUGAUUUGAAAGGCGCUUUCGGGUGUCGCUGAUGGAUGGACCCGCGGUGCAUUAGCUAGUUGGUGAGGUAACGGCUCACCAAGGCCACGAUGCAUAGCCGACCUGAGAGGGUGAUCGGCCACAUUGGGACUGAGACACGGCCCAAACUCCUACGGGAGGCAGCAGUAGGGAAUCUUCGGCAAUGGACGAAAGUCUGACCGAGCAACGCCGCGUGAGUGAAGAAGGUUUUCGGAUCGUAAAACUCUGUUGUUAGAGAAGAACAAGGAUGAGAGUAACUGUUCAUCCCUUGACGGUAUCUAACCAGAAAGCCACGGCUAACUACGUGCCAGCAGCCGCGGUAAUACGUAGGUGGCAAGCGUUGUCCGGAUUUAUUGGGCGUAAAGCGAGCGCAGGCGGUUUCUUAAGUCUGAUGUGAAAGCCCCCGGCUCAACCGGGGAGGGUCAUUGGAAACUGGGAGACUUGAGUGCAGAAGAGGAGAGUGGAAUUCCAUGUGUAGCGGUGAAAUGCGUAGAUAUAUGGAGGAACACCAGUGGCGAAGGCGGCUCUCUGGUC